GAUAGCUAGACCGAAAGUAAUAAUUCAAAUCGAGGAAAUCUAUUAAAUAACCCUUAAAAUGCCCUCAAAAAACAAUAAAUUUAUAAAAAUAAAUUACAUACAAGGAUAAAUCAAAUACAGCAAUCUAGUUGGCGCCAAAAACGUAUUGGGCGGGCGCCCCAUUUCUUCCUCCCCCCUCUCCCUAUCUAUCAAUCGCGCAGUACCUAACUCUUACCCUCAGUGCAGAUCCCUCACUUUUCGAGCUAGCCCAAACUCUUGAAUCUCAGCUCAGGUUGCCGAGCUAGAGCUACGAUCGACGAGUCGGCGACUAGACUGAAUCCGUGUUCGAAUCUCAGGGCUUUGCAUUCUAGGCUCUAGGAUAGCAGUGAGGAAAGAACAAUUUCAGGUGAAUUGGAUGAUGUUAACUUUGGUAGUAUGACACUGAAGCAAAUUAAGGAGAGAUGCAAAGCAAAGAAAAGGAAACCUGGAAUGUUCAGGGAUAUGUCAUCAUUCAAAGCUACAACAUCUUCCUGAAAGGCUCCUUUCAAACUGGAAGGCAAUUUCUACAGCAUCUCAGAAAAAACUGUGCAAGGCUAUGGAGUCUAGUGACAUAGAUGAUGAAGAUUAUUACAAGUAUGCUAUGAAAUUAUGCUGCAGGAAUUUGAAUGAAAAUAAGAUUGGUAGGCUUGGAAGAGCCUAUCAGAACCGGAUAUUUGAUCUCACUAUUAGCCCUGAGCGGAUCAUCAGGAAACUGAAGAGUGAGUAAUAUGGUUCCCAUUAUAAAGACAUUCUUAAGGUUCCUCAUCCUUCUCGAACUAUACCAUGUUUUGCCACUGGGAGCACCUCUGUCCAAAGUUGUUCAGAGAGUGCCAUUUCAUUAUCACAGAUGCAAGCGCGUGAUAUUGAAUCUAUUACAACUAAACUUGAAAAAGAGGUGAACUCCAUGAAGGGCAUUGUUCAAGAAACAUGGCAGUCCAAGGUCUAUCCUGCUAUGCCCUUGAAAUACAGGGCAGAUAAGGUAUGUACAGUAUGCUAUAGCGUAAAUUCUAUUGAUUUGGCAGGUGAAUUCAAAAUGCAACUAGAGUGGAAGAAAUUAAGUGCAAGAAGAUGGCUUGCCAUCCUGGCAAGGGAUUGCAACUGAUUUUGUAAAAUCAUGAAAUUGACUGACAAAGCUUCUGCAACUUUUCUGGGAAUGCUGUCCACAAGGAGAAGAGAAAGAUAGUUUUUGCUGAUGAGGCUGGCGGAAAGCUUUGUGAUGUCAAAGCUUUCGAGAAUGACAGGGCUUCUUUUGCAGGGUCUAGUAGUGACAAACAGAUAUUUGAGUGGCUAUUUGAUGCUUUCUAGAACAACAAAAUGAAUGUAUAGAAUAGUUUUGGCACGUGUAAAUCUAGGGUAAGGUGUGUCUGAGAUCAGGAGUGAAGCUACCAUAACACAGAUGAAUUCAGCUAGAAAGCAGACUGGUGCUCGCUUGAAAGCUAGUUUACUGAUCACUGAGAACUAGAGAAUAGGAUUAACUUUGUUUAUACUUUUCUUACCUCUUUACUUGAGAUUGAAGCAUGUUGUAACAACAAUCUUGUGUUCUUGUCCCAAGCCAAUGAACAAAUGUUUAUUUGUGCUUGGAAUUUCCAAUGAUGUUAGCCUUAUGUCAAGACGACAGAGAAUCCCAGUUUUCGGCCU
Long non-coding RNA from Populus euphratica (Euphrates poplar), 1656 nucleotides. RefSeq lists it as uncharacterized. The transcript has 8 exons. Lineage: Eukaryota; Viridiplantae; Streptophyta; Magnoliopsida; Malpighiales; Salicaceae. The record is from RefSeq and is a predicted model, not a curated record.